GAUGAACGCUGGCGGCGUGCUUAACACAUGCAAGUCGAACGGGAUCCCAGGAGCUUGCUCCUGGGUGAGAGUGGCGAACGGGUGAGUAAUGCGUGACCGACCUGCCCCAUACACCGGAAUAGCUCCUGGAAACGGGUGGUAAUGCCGGAUGCUCCAGUUGGAUGCAUGUCCUUCUGGGAAAGAUUCAUCGGUAUGGGAUGGGGUCGCGUCCUAUCAGCUUGAUGGCGGGGUAACGGCCCACCAUGGCUUCGACGGGUAGCCGGCCUGAGAGGGCGACCGGCCACAUUGGGACUGAGAUACGGCCCAGACUCCUACGGGAGGCAGCAGUGGGGAAUAUUGCACAAUGGGCGCAAGCCUGAUGCAGCGACGCCGCGUGCGGGAUGACGGCCUUCGGGUUGUAAACCGCUUUUGACUGGGAGCAAGCCCUUCGGGGUGAGUGUACCUUUCGAAUAAGCA
RNAcentral lists this ribosomal RNA (456 nucleotides) under uncultured bacterium. RNAcentral describes it as "bacterial SSU rRNA". It matches the Rfam family "Bacterial small subunit ribosomal RNA", at positions 28 to 492 of the family's 1533-position model. The record is from RNAcentral.